AGUUUAGAACCUCCGGGUGCAAAAAAGUGCGAACUCCCUGUCUCUUCCCCCAGGAGAUUCGGGCUGGGGACGCGGACCGAGUCGCGACUGGGGCAACCAGCUCCGCGUCUGGGACACUUUCCUCCUGCCUCAGUUUCCUCCGCCAAGCCCCGCCCUCCCGGCCCCGCCCCCGUCCCUCCCUACCCGAGGGCAGGGCGACCCGGACGCCGGAAUCCCGGAGGAGGAGGCGCGAGGCUCUUACCUGGGGCGCCCUCCUCUGCUCCCCGGCUGCCCCUGGCGCGGCGGCGGCUCCUCCUCCGGCUCGCUGGCUGCAGGGACGCCCGCUGGCCGCSGGCUCCGCGCGGCUCGCGCUCGGGAGGGCCUGGGUCGGGGGCGGGGGCGGGGCGGCGCCCGACGGCGGAGGAGGGGCGGGGGAUCCCGCCUUGCACGCGCGUGCCGGGACCUCGGAAGCCCGGCCUGGCUCGCGCAGCCCCCGCACCGCGGUCCCAGGAGUCGGGGCCCAGCCCCUCCCCCCUCAGACCCGGGAGACCAGGCCCCCGCCCCCGCUCCAGACCCCGGGGUACCAACCCCAGCCCUCCUCCCUCAGACCAAGGGUCCUGGAUCCCAGCCUUCCUCCCUCAGAUUCGUGUGUCUAGACCCGGUUCUCCUCCCUCGGAUCCAGGGUCCAGGCCCUCCUCUUUCAGGCCCUCCCUCAGAUCCAGGGGUACCGGCCCUCCAGCCCCUCCCCGCUCAGAUCCAGGGGUACCGGCCCUCCAGCCCCUCCCCGCUCAGAUCCAGGGGUACCGGCCCUCCAGCCCCUCCCCCCUCAGAUCCAGUGGUCCAGGCCCCAGCCCUCCUCCCUCACACCCAGGAGAUGGGCCUGAGAUCCUUUGCAGUCUUUUGCCAAUUCGGUGUCAAUCUGGGGACAGAUUCCCACCCUCUGCUCUCAUCCCCACUUUCCCAGGAGCUCCCCGCCAGACAUUAACCAGCUGGGCUUGGGCAGCGAUAAGGCCCGACGCCUCAGAGACAGUGGACGUGGGGGGCUCUCCUACAGAGUCCUGUCUCCUGGAAUUUCCUGGGUGGGGACUGGGGAGAGGGUCUUGUCCUGAGCUCAGUCAAGAAAAAUUCGAGGUAUUAAAGGACUUGGGGACAAAAAUGUUUUUAGAACAGGGUGACCUGUCUAGAGAAACUGAAAUGAUUCAGAUGCAGAGGGGAGGAGAAGCCAUAGAAAUAGAGGGAAAAGGACGGAGACUAAGGCAAAGAGGCGGGCAAAGACCUAGGGCGAGGGAUGGGGAACAAAGACCUGGGCAGAGAAGACAGAGGGGCAGACAUCCCAACAGAAGGGGAGGGAACCGGGGAGGGACAGGGCCUCGGAGAGAGCCCUUAAGAGAUGAGAUAGGAGCUAGAGAGUCCGGGACGGCCCUAUGGGUGGCAGGGCCUUCACCCUACCACACCUCCAUCCUGGGACUCUGCUCCCCUCCUCUGAGCUAUUUUUAG
This 1476-nucleotide long non-coding RNA is filed under the name Urocitellus parryii (Arctic ground squirrel). Its description in RNAcentral is "lncRNA (ENSUPAG00010013186.1)". The record is from RNAcentral. Lineage: Eukaryota; Metazoa; Chordata; Mammalia; Rodentia; Sciuridae.